AUGCGGCACAACCCUAGAUAUUCAGACCCAGCUUCUUUCCGUCCUUUUCCACGUGAAAUGCGGCUGCUGUGUAAACUAGGCACGCCAAAAACCCAGCUCCGAUCCUCACGGGCCGGCCGUGGUCCGUCGGGGCCGGCCGGGACGGGGCGGGAGGGAAAGGAAAGUCCGCGGUGCCCAUCACCGCAGCGCCGGGCCCCAGCCCGGGCUCCCCUUCCUGCACCGCAAACCUCGCUCCGCGCCCGGAAUUUACCCAGCUUUAUUAUUAUUACUCGAGCUGUGAUUGCCGUUUUUAUUAGUUUCCAGUCACCAAAAAGCUGCCGGGGACUGGGCUAUCCGGGACGAAACCCUGGGCUAUCCCGGGGCGGUCUGCUUCUACCGUUUGCAGUGUGGCUUGCCCGCCGAAUAGGGAAAUUUUUAUCUAUUAUUAUUUUAACUUUUGUUCCCCCGAUUGGAAGAUCGAAACCUUUGAAACGAAAGGAGAGCGAACCUUUCCUUCCCGCGGCAGCACGGCCGCUCCCGGGGGCUCUCAGCAAACGGGGAAUCCCGCUCGGUGCUGGUUGUUUUUCCCCCGGGUCACUUUCUAUCACCGUAUCGGGAGGAUUUAUCUUCUCCUCCGUCUCCCGGAGGAGGAGGCAUCACCGCAAAACUGCGACCCCGAGACCCCGGAGCGUGUGCGGCCGGCCCCGGAGGACUCUCCCCGCUUCAAGGCCUCUCCCUGCCGCCGUGCACGCUCCCUGCGCGUCCCCGCUGGCAGGGCACGGGGUCACCAGGGACGUGUGGCAGCAGCGGAGCAGGGGCAGCAGGGGUGAGACGGGGGGCACGGACCCCAGCCUGCAGAGGGACCCCCCCUCCGCCCGCGGUGCAGCCCUUCAGGUGCUCGGCAAGCAAGGUUUUGCGGGCGGGAGGCAGCAGCCAGCUGCUGACCACCGGGGCCAAAUGCUGAGACCCCUGCGGCGGGGAGAGCGGAGCCCCCCCCGGGCAGCAGCGGGGGGGCAGCCCCGGAGCGCUUCCCGAGGCUGCCUCAGGUGGGCGCAGCCGUCGGGGGGAUCCGUGAGAGGUUGGCUUCAGCAGCGGGGCGGGUGGCUGGGGAACUCAAGCGCUGGCUGA
RNAcentral lists this long non-coding RNA (1107 nucleotides) under Anas platyrhynchos platyrhynchos (common mallard). RNAcentral's name for it is "lncRNA (ENSAPLG00000018209.1)". Lineage: Eukaryota; Metazoa; Chordata; Aves; Anseriformes; Anatidae. The record is from RNAcentral.